GUGGUAAGUUCCAGUUAUUGUUUUAUGCCUGGGAUACACCACUGAACACAACAAUCCAAUGGCCCCACCCUUGUAGAAUGUGGAACAUACAUCACCACAGGGAGAGGCGAAGAGUAAACAGUCAACAAAACAUACAAGGAAAUUAUGUUUUAAAAGUAUGUUAGAAGUUGAAGAGUGCUAUAGAAAAAGGGAGGGGAGCCUAGAAAGGGGACUGCAGGAGCCAGGGUGAGAGGACAGGCAGCAGCUUUAACUAGGAUGCCAAGGUAAUCUCACUGAGACCGUGGAAUUCAAGAAAGUAAAUGAAGGAGGACAAACCAUAUGGAUAUUUUGGAGAAUAGUGUAGACAGAGCACCCAGUGCUCUCAGCAAGAAAGCUGGUGUGGCUAGAGAGAAAUGAAGAAGGAGAGCAGCAGGAGAGCCAGAGGGCUAAGAAGGAGUCUGGAUCAUGCAGCACCUGAUUAUAAUUUCCACAUGGUGAGGCACCCCUUCUGCCGUGUUUUGCCCUAUUCCCGGAGCCUAGGACACAGCCUUUAUGGAGUGUAGCCUGAUAAUGUAGUUACUGAAUGAAACAAAUCUUCCUGGCACACGUUCUUCACCCCUGAAAACAACAUGGAUGAUGAGUGCAGACUGCAAAACAGCUCACUGGCAAUUGCUCUCAAUUCACUCAAACCCUGCGAAGACUGAUGCCUUGUCAUGAAGACAUAAGAUGAGAAGUUCACCAGUGCUCUAUCAUCUUCUUGGUGACCUACUGGCACCAACUACAGCAGAUCCACUGUGCAUCCAUGAGGCUAGGUACCAUGAAAGUUUUGACCAGAAGGAGCCACCACCAUACUCUUAAAACACAUCCAGAAACUCACCUUUUAUUUUCAAUGCUUGUAUUCUUGUUUUCAGGAUUUUCAUGUGUCUAAAUAUUUCUGUUCAGAAAUUCUUCAAAAUUAUCUAGUACCUCAAAUAAACAGUUAGCAAUAACUAGU
This 973-nucleotide long non-coding RNA is filed under the name Homo sapiens (human). Its description in RNAcentral is "HSALNT0200695". The record is from RNAcentral. Lineage: Eukaryota; Metazoa; Chordata; Mammalia; Primates; Hominidae.